Molecule: ribosomal RNA, 491 nt
Filed under: uncultured bacterium
Lineage: Bacteria
Description: partial 16S ribosomal RNA
Rfam family: Bacterial small subunit ribosomal RNA
Source: RNAcentral
AGUGAACGCUGGCGGUAGGCCUAACACAUGCAAGUCGAACGGCAGCACAGUAAGAGCUUGCUCUUACGGGUGGCGAGUGGCGGACGGGUGAGGAAUACAUCGGAAUCUACUUUUUCGUGGGGAUAACGUAGGGAAACUUACGCUAAUACCGCAUACGACCUACGGGUGAAAGCAGGGGAUCUUCGGACCUUGCGCGAUUGAAUGAGCCGAUGUCGGAUUAGCUAGUUGGCGGGGUAAAGGCCCACCAAGGCGACGAUCCGUAGCUGGUCUGGGAGGAUGAUCGCCCACCCGGGAACUGAGACACGGUCCAGACUCCUAAGGGAGGCAGCAGUGGGGAAUAUUGGACAAUGGGGGCAAGCCUGAUCCAGCCAUACCGCGUGGGUGACGAAGGCGUUCGGGUUGUAAAGCCCUUUUGUUGGGAAAGAAAAGCAGCAGGUUAAUACCCCGCUGUUCUGACGGUACCCAAAGAAUAAGCACCGGCUAACUUCGUG